RNAcentral lists this ribosomal RNA (457 nucleotides) under uncultured bacterium. Its description in RNAcentral is "bacterial SSU rRNA". It matches the Rfam family "Bacterial small subunit ribosomal RNA", at positions 343 to 797 of the family's 1533-position model. The record is from RNAcentral.
CGGAGGCAGCAGUGAGGAAUAUUGGUCAAUGGACGCAAGUCUGAACCAGCCAUGCCGCGUGCAGGAUGAAUGCCCUCUGGGUUGUAAACUGCUUUUAUCAGGGAAUAAACCUUUCUACGUGUAGAAAGCUGAAGGUACUUGAUGAAUAAGCACCGGCUAACUCCGUGCCAGCAGCCGCGGUAAUACGGAGGGUGCAAGCGUUAUCCGGAAUCAUUGGGUUUAAAGGGUCCGCAGGCGGAUUUAUAAGUCAGUGGUGAAAUCUCUCGGCUCAACCGAGAAACUGCCAUUGAUACUGUAAGUCUUGAAUUCGGUCGAAGUGGGCGGAAUAUGACAUGUAGCGGUGAAAUGCAUAGAUAUGUCAUAGAACACCGAUAGCGAAGGCAGCUCACUAGGCCUGGAUUGACGCUCAGGGACGAAAGCGUGGGGAGCAAACAGGAUUAGAAACCCCAGUAGUCCC